This 492-nucleotide ribosomal RNA is filed under the name uncultured bacterium. Its description in RNAcentral is "partial 16S ribosomal RNA". It matches the Rfam family "Bacterial small subunit ribosomal RNA", at positions 29 to 507 of the family's 1533-position model. The record is from RNAcentral.
AGUGAACGCUGGCGGUAGGCCUAACACAUGCAAGUCGAACGGCAGCACAGUAAGAGCUUGCUCUUACGGGUGGCGAGUGGCGGACGGGUGAGGAAUACAUCGGAAUCUACUUUUUCGUGGGGGAUAACGUAGGGAAACUUACGCUAAUACCGCAUACGACCUACGGGUGAAAGCAGGGGAUCUUCGGACCUUGCGCGACUGAAUGAGCCGAUGUCGGAUUAGCUAGUUGGCGGGGUAAAGGCCCACCAAGGCGACGAUCCGUAGCUGGUCUGAGAGGAUGAUCAGCCACACUGGAACUGAGACACGGUCCAGACUCCUACGGGAGGCAGCAGUAGGGAAUAUUGGACAAUGGGCGCAAGCCUGAUCCAGCCAUACCGCGUGAGUGAAGAAGGCCUUCGGGUUGUAAAGCCCUUUUGUUGGGAAAGAAAAGCAGCAGGUUAAUACCCCGCUGUUCUGACGGUACCCAAAGAAUAAGCACCGGCUAACUUCGUG